UCGAGUCCCGGACCAGGACGAAUUUUUCUUCAACUGCGAGGCUUUCUUUCGAGGAACCCGGUUGGGUUUCCAUUGUAGCAAAUUGCUACAUUUGGGUGGAUGUCUCAGUUUCCCUUUCAUUACUUAUCUCCACCUAGCGGAUUUCCGCUGAACUAUAACAUCAAACACUUGCCUUUGCUUCGAGUUGUCGACAAAUUCGACUUCGCCCUGCCAUCUGCUAGCCGCCUGCUUAGCUGAGAUGGUAGAGCGGCUGCCCCGGAAAGGCCGUGGUCCCGGGUUCGAGUCCCGGACCAGGACGAAUUUUUCUUCAACUGCGAGGCUUUCUUUCGAGGAACCCGGUUGAGUUUCCAUUGUAGCAAAUUGCUACAUUUGGGUGGAUGUCUCAGUUUCCCUUUAAUUACUUAUCUCCACCUAGCGGAUUUCCGCUGAACUAUAACAUCAAACACUUGCCUUUGCUUGGAGUUGUCGACAAAUUCGACUUCGCCCUGCCAUCUGCUAGCCGCCUGGUUAGCUCAGAUGGUAGAGCGGCUGCCCCGGAAAGGCGGUGGUCCCGGGUUCGAGUCCCGGACCAGGACGAAUUUUUCUUCAACUGCGAGGCUUUCUUUCGAGGAACCCGGUUGGGUUUCCAUUGUAGCAAAUUGCUACAUUUGGGUGGAUGUCUCAGUUUCCCUUUAAUUACUUAUCUCCACCUAGCGGAUUUCCGCUGAACUAUAACAUCAAACACUUGCCUUUGCUUCGAGUUGUCGACAAAUUCGACUUCGCCCUGCCAUCUGCUAGCCGCCUGGUUAGCUCAGAUGGUAGAGCGGCUGCCCGGAAAGGCGGUGGUCCCGGGUUCGAGUCCCGGACCAGGACGAAUUUUUCUUCAACUGCGAGGCUUUCUUUCGAGGAACCCGGUUGGGUUUCCAUUGUAGCAAAUUGCUACAUUUGGGUGGAUGUCUCAGUUUCCCUUUAAUUACUUAUCUCCACCUAGCGGAUUUCCGCUGAACUAUAACAUCAAACACUUGCCUUUGCUUCGAGUUGUCGACAAAUUCGACUUCGCCCUGCCAUCUGCUGGCCGCCUGGUUAGCUCAGAUGGUAGAGCGGCUGCCCCGGAAAGGCGGUGGUCCCGGGUUCGAGCCCCGGACCAGGACGAAUUUUUCUUCAACUGCGAGGCUUUCUUUCGAGGAACCCGUUUGGGUUUCCAUUGUAGCAAAUUGCUACAUUUGGGUGGAUGUCUCAGUUUCCCUUUAAUUA
Dermacentor silvarum is the source of this 1233-nucleotide long non-coding RNA. RefSeq lists it as uncharacterized. The transcript is spliced from 2 exons. NCBI's taxonomy places the organism in Eukaryota, Metazoa, Arthropoda, Arachnida, Ixodida, Ixodidae. The record is from RefSeq and is a predicted model, not a curated record.